GUGAACGCACAGUGUGAGACGUAGACGCAGCGAUAUCACGAUGGCGAAAGCGAUGUUUCAUCUUUGUCGAGGGAAGAAUUGCGAAGAGAAGAGUAUGGCAGACAGAGAGGCACGAGAUAUGUACACUAUGCAUCCUUUCUCACUGUCCAGCUGAUGCCGUCCAGUGGAGCCUCCUACGUGAAAUACUGCUGCUGACCAUGGUGCGCCAACGUUGGAUGAAUUCACAAAAAUCCUUGAACGAGCAUCUAUAUAGACUAAAUAAACAUUUCCUUUUAUUUGUAUAA
This is a long non-coding RNA of Dermacentor albipictus, 284 nucleotides long. RefSeq lists it as uncharacterized. The record is from RefSeq and is a predicted model, not a curated record. Lineage: Eukaryota; Metazoa; Arthropoda; Arachnida; Ixodida; Ixodidae.